RNAcentral lists this ribosomal RNA (469 nucleotides) under uncultured bacterium. RNAcentral describes it as "partial 16S ribosomal RNA". It matches the Rfam family "Bacterial small subunit ribosomal RNA", at positions 28 to 507 of the family's 1533-position model. The record is from RNAcentral.
GACGAACGCUGGCGGCGUGCUUAACACAUGCAAGUCGAACGGAAAGGCCCUGCUUGCAGGGUGCUCGAGUGGCGAACGGGUGAGUAACACGUGGGUGAUCUGCCCCUUACUUUGGGAUAAGCCUGGGAAACUGGGUCUAAUACUGGAUAGGACCAUGCUGUAGGUGGUGUGGUGGAAAGAUUAGUUUCGGUAAGGGAUGAGCUCGCGGCCUAUCAGCUUGUUGGUGGGGUAAUGGCCUACCAAGGCGUCGACGGGUAGCCGGCCUGAGAGGGUGGACGGCCACAUUGGGACUGAGAUACGGCCCAGACACCUACGGGAGGCAGCAGUGGGGAAUAUUGCACAAUAGGCGCAAGCCUGAUGCAGCGACGCCGCGUGGGGGAUGACGGCCUUCGGGUUGUAAACUCCUUUCAGCCAUGACGAAGCCCUUGUGGUGACGGUAGUUGUAGAAGAAGCACCGGCUAACUACGUG